RNAcentral lists this ribosomal RNA (495 nucleotides) under uncultured bacterium. Its description in RNAcentral is "partial 16S ribosomal RNA". It matches the Rfam family "Bacterial small subunit ribosomal RNA", at positions 28 to 507 of the family's 1533-position model. The record is from RNAcentral.
GACGAACGCUGGCGGCGUGCCUAAUACAUGCAAGUAGAACGCUGAAGGAGGAGCUUGCUUCUCUGGAUGAGUUGCGAACGGGUGAGUAACGCGUAGGUAACCUGCCUGGUAGCGGGGGAUAACUAUUGGAAACGAUAGCUAAUACCGCAUAAUAGCAGUUAUUGCAUGAUAACUGUUUGAAAGGUGCAAUUGCACCACUACCAGAUGGACCUGCGUUGUAUUAGCUAGUUGGUGGGGUAACGGCUCACCAAGGCGACGAUACAUAGCCGACCUGAGAGGGGGAUCGGCCACACUGGGACUGAGACACGGCCCAGACGCCUACGGGAGGCAGCAGUAGGGAAUCUUCGGCAAUGGACGGAAGUCUGACCGAGCAACGCCGCGUGAGGGAAGAAGGUUUUCGGAUCGUAAAGCUCUGUUGUAAGAGAAGAACGAGUGUGAGAGUGGAAAGUUCACACUGUGACGGUAUCUUACCAGAAAGGGACGGCUAACUACGUG